This 520-nucleotide long non-coding RNA is filed under the name Vulpes vulpes (red fox). RNAcentral describes it as "lncRNA (ENSVVUG00000011162.1)". Lineage: Eukaryota; Metazoa; Chordata; Mammalia; Carnivora; Canidae. The record is from RNAcentral.
AAAAAAUCGCUGUCUAGAUAAUAUUCAUCAAUUUUAGCUUUCAAUACCAUGUUUUGGAUUUUUCUUUUGUGAGUAUUGAUGUCUUCAUUGUUUUAAUAUAUUUUUUUUAAGAUUUUAUAUAUUUAUUCAUUAGGGACACAGAGAGAGAGGCAGAGACACAGGCAGAGGGAGAAGCAGUUUCCCUGCCGGGACUUGAUACCAGGACCCGGGAUCACGACCUGAGCCGAAGACAGAGGCUCAAACAAUUAGCCACUCAGGCAUUGCCGUUUUUAACAUCUGAUAGAGAAAGAGAAACACUUCAGGGAUAUGGAGAUGGAAGUAUAAUACAGAAGACUGAGCCUCUGACAUGUUAUGGAAUAGAGCUGCCUUUCGUGUUUGGACUUGGACAAGAAAGAGAAAUUUUAUCUUGUUCGAGUUGUUAUUUCAGGUGUCUGCUACAAGCAUCCAAAUGAAUACCCAAUAUAUACAUCAAAGCUUAAAGAGUUCAUAUAAUGUACACAUUAAGAGAAAAGAGAAGUGA